RNAcentral lists this long non-coding RNA (211 nucleotides) under Ananas comosus (pineapple). RNAcentral's name for it is "long non-coding RNA (ACOM_LNC029355)". Lineage: Eukaryota; Viridiplantae; Streptophyta; Magnoliopsida; Poales; Bromeliaceae. The record is from RNAcentral.
UCGGAUCAAGGUGUUGAUAAUGAUCGGAUCAAGUAGAAGCUCUAGAUCGGAUCAAGAAGUUGAAGACGAUCAAACCAAUGACGUGUGUGUGCUUGUAAUUUAUGACCCUAAGACCCCGAUUCCGACUCAGUGGCUCGAGUCCGAAUCCACUUCUUAGAUCCAUGAUCAUCACCAGUUAUAUUAUGUUUUCAUGCGCGAAUUAUUUUUAUUU